GACGAACGCUGGCGGCGUGCUUAACACAUGCAAGUCGAACGGAAAGGCCCUGCUUGCUGGGUACUCGAGUGGCGAACGGGUGAGUAACACGUGGGUGCUCUGCCCUGCACUUCGGGAUAAGCCUGGGAAACUGGGUCUAAUACCGGAUAGGAGCCAUUUCUAGUGUGAUGGUUGGAAAGUUUUUUCGGUGUAGGACGAGCUCGCGGCCUAUCAGCUUGUUGGUGGGGUAAUGGCCUACCAAGGCGGCGACGGGUAGCCCGCCUGGGGGGGUGGAAGGCCAUCUUGGGGCCGAGGGGAGGCCCAAGCGGCGAAGGGUGGCCAGUGGGGGGAAUAUUGCACAAUCGGCGCAAGCCUGAUGCAGCGGCGCCGCGGGUGGGAUGACGGCCUUCGGGUUGUAAACUACUUUCGCGAGGGACGAAGCUUUUUGUGACGGUACCUAGAGAAGAAGCACCGGCUAACUACGUG
This 465-nucleotide ribosomal RNA is filed under the name uncultured bacterium. RNAcentral's name for it is "partial 16S ribosomal RNA". It matches the Rfam family "Bacterial small subunit ribosomal RNA", at positions 28 to 507 of the family's 1533-position model. The record is from RNAcentral.